AAAAAUAAAAAUACCUCGAGAAUAUAUAUUUACUUAAGAUCAAUUGCGGAGUUUAAUAUUUAAACAGAAAGAAGAGACUGUAAUCAGAAAAAAAACGACGUCGAUGCAGAUUGAAGUAACCAAGGUGUCAAGUGCUGUUAGCUGUUUUAUUCAAUGUUUUAAAAAUGGGCGAAUGUAAACAAUUGGUUAGUGAUUCCAAACUGGGAGCAACGUUAUUCCAGCAAGCUGAAGAGAGCUCGAAGUUUUGUGACGUCAUCAUCGUAUAUGGUCAGCCAGGUGACAUGAAACAAAUAUGGGCCCACUGGUGUGUGCUGGUAUAAUGUCCGUACUUUGACGCCAUGUACAGGUGUGGAUUACAAGAAAAACAGCAGGGAAAGAUAUUUAUUACAGAGUCUUUACACGAAGAAGCAGUUAGAGUAGUUAUUGGGUUUCUUUAUACUGGAGAGUUUAAUUUGGACUAUCGAAUUAUUGGAGAAGUACUUAAUGCAGCGGACUAUUUUCAAUUUGGCGACGUUCUCACUAUUUGCAAAAAGUACUUGUUAACUUUGCCACUGACAGCAGAAAAUGGUGUCGAGGUUUUGAAAAUGGCUGGUCGUUACAAUUUUGAAGAUCUUCAGACGCGUUCAAUUACAUUCAUAACUAACAAUUUGAUUCAUAUUAUUGAACACCCAGCCAAUAGUAAAGCUAUGACUGACAUGAUGAUGCAACAAAUAUGGGACCAAGCAAACCGUGACAGAAAAUGUCAAAUGCUCUUUUUAAUUUCUGCCGAACCUAGCUUUGUUGUGAUGGACAGAAUCGCAAAGAAACAUUUGAAAAGUUGUUCUGCUCUUUAAACCUGAACGAAACGAGUCACGAAUUCUUUCAAUCUUUAUCAUAUGACUAUGUCCAAACGUUAAAAAAAUGCCGUAAAUUGUAUGUACAUUUAAACAGUCAAAUCUUACAAGCUAGACUAACAUUUACAGCGGACACAAUUGGCGUUGUUUUACUUGUAGCAAAGAUUCCGCAGCUACAAAAAUCAGGAGGAAUAUAUGCAACCGCGAUAGGCGACGAACGUUGGUCCUUUCUUACAAGAUUACCACGGGAACUUCGAGAAUUCGACUACUACAAUGAUAGAUAUUGCCUUGGUGUUGACCCACUUGGGAAAUUCAUUUACAUUAUUAGGCAAAGAGAGCACUAUAUAAGUAACCAUUCAGCUGUUUUGGAAAUCCCUUCUCAUAAAUACGAUUGUGAACUAAAUACGUGGGCGCUUGAGACAUACACACUUACUAUUAAGGAUGAAAGACAGGUCAAAAUUGAGGGAAUAGUUUGUGUUAAAACUGGGACGUUUCUUAUUGCAGAGACUGUGAUGCGUAAACGGCGGUGUAAAAACGUACAAUUAUUAGCAUGUCGCGAGGACACGACCCUUGUGGAGGUGGCUUUAGUACCAAAUAUUUGCAAACGAUGGUACAGUAGUUGUGAUAUAAAAUAUUGUGUUGUUGGAGACAGUUGUAUUAUAGUGUUGUGUACCGGAAUUGAAAUCGGACAAAUGACAAUAAAAAUAUCCGUAACGAAUACAAACAUGCCUCAAACUUAUAUUUGUAAAACGAUCAAAGAAUCGCAUAUUGGAUACAAUGCCAGGUUUGCAACACAUGAAAUGUUGUACUCAAACGGGAAACGUGGCAUUAUUUCCUGUUUUGGCAGCGAUCAUCACAGAGAAGUGAGUAUUUCGCCAGUUAAGUGUACGACAGUUGAAGGCGAAGUUCUUAGCAGAUACGGGGGCGAUGAGGAAGGGCUGCAACUAGAUAAUAUUGUAACGGGAAAUGGUGAAAAUGUUGUCUCUGUAUACGACAAGCGAACACAAACGUUACGAGUUAUUGACUGCAUCACAAAGGAACAGCAUCUGGCACCACCAUUUCCAUACGAAUUUCAGGACUGCACAUUGGUCCUUGCGAACCUGGCGGCCAGAUUACUUAAGUGUCGCAUCGACUGUCCACAUUGUUUGUUUGAAAUCAAAUCCGAUAUUAAUUAGUUUUGAGCACGAAACUGAUACAUAAACACGGUAUAUUUGUGGAAAUUGCACAUGUUCAAAAAUGCGAUAGGAUUGUUUCUUUUGUCAUUAGUAGACAAUAAAAGCGUUUCAGUAAUUAACAGUCUCAAAGAUUGUAAAAUGCUUUUAUUUAUAUGACUGUGGUCAACAGUCAAGUAUUGAGAAGCGAAACUAGACAUUUACUCAGCUCAUUUCUUCUCUUCUGAAAGUUCUUUUUUGACAGUUUAAAGACAUGUAUUAUUGUUUUUAUAUUUGAACUGUGUUUCUUUUCAUCAAACUGAGACGUAUCAAUAGUCGCAUGUAUUGUUUGAUUUACCUUUAGUUAAUUUCUCAGGGUGACAAUGAUUUUACGAAUUAAUCUGUUUGUGGUGCAAACCUUUAUACAUUUGUGAUAAGUUUUGUCCGUGCGUAAUUUUUUCUUCAAUGUCUAAACGUAUGGCAAUAACUCAAAUCUUAUAGACACAAUUGAAACCGUGGAUGGAAAGAUACGCGAAGACUCUGUGUUCAUUUUGCUUGUAUGCAAUUGAAUAAAUAUACUCAAGAUCAAUAAA
Molecule: long non-coding RNA, 2577 nt
Organism: Dreissena polymorpha
Lineage: Eukaryota; Metazoa; Mollusca; Bivalvia; Myida; Dreissenidae
Exons: 4
Source: RefSeq, a predicted model, not a curated record